UUCAAGUAACACUAUCCAGCACCCAGUUUCAAGCCUUUCCCCUGAAUCUUUAGUAUUAAAUUCUGUGCUUAUCACCUGUCUGACCAACUGUUCCCAUCCAGAGCGCAGGCUACAAUUGCUCUUGUCAGCGUGCCACUGACUGCAUUGGCUUUCUGGUUAAAUUACUGCUGCUUCUGAAAAGGAGGAAAUAAUUCACCCUCAUCCUCUUCCUUCUUCCUGGCACUGACAUUCUUGCAGCCAUACUGUAACCCAGAUGAAGAUUAAUUCAGCUGAAAAUGUACAGGAUGUAAAAGUUACUUUUUAAAGGUGUACCUAAGAAGAUUCUGUUCAAGAGAAGGUGGAAGUAAUCAGCUUGGGGAAGGCAAGGCUCUUUCUUCCCCUGUUGCAUCUUCAGAGGCUCCAGUAUCUUCAUCAUUCAGAGCAGAUUCAUGUGAAUUUUUGCAAUCAGGAGAAAAAAAAAAAAAAGCAUUCAAGAAAAGGAACACUGCACCUUACGUACAGAAUCUACUUAUCAACAGUUAAAUCACCUUGCAGAGUGAGGCUCCUGGUUUAUGUGCUGUGCAACGUGGGGGCAGGACCCACGAGUUUAAAAGCAGAGGCAAGGACCUUUGUCACAGUGGCUGUGCC
RNAcentral lists this long non-coding RNA (627 nucleotides) under Phasianus colchicus (ring-necked pheasant). Its description in RNAcentral is "lncRNA (ENSPCLG00000002936.1)". Lineage: Eukaryota; Metazoa; Chordata; Aves; Galliformes; Phasianidae. The record is from RNAcentral.